AUGGACCCCAGAAACACCCUGGAGACACCCCAAGCAGGCCCCAGAGACACCCCAAACGGGCCCCAGAGACACCCUGGGGAGACCCCAAACAGGUCCCAGAGAUGUCCCGGAGAGACCCUACUGCAUCCCCAGAGAUAUCCCAGAGAGACCCCGGAAGGGCCCCUGAGACCUCCUGGAGACAGCCCAAACGGGCCCCAGAAACACCCUGGAGACACCCCAAAUGGGCCCCAGAGAUGCCCUGGAGAGACCCCGCUGCAUCCCCAGAGACAUCCUGGAGAAACCCCAGAAGGGCCCCCGAGACCUCCCAGAGACAGCCCAAACGGGCCCCAGAAACACCCUGGAGAGAUCCCAAAUGGGCCCCAGAGACACCCCAAGUGGGCCCCAGAGACACCCUGGAGAGACCCCAUUGCAUCCCUGAAGACAUCCCAGAGAGACCCCAGAAGGGCCCCCGAGACCUCCCGGAGAGACCCCAAAUGGACCCCAGAGACACCCCAAACAGGCCCCAGAGAUGCCCUGGAGAGACCCUGCUGCGUCUCCAGAGACAUCCCGGAGAGACCCUGGAAGGGCCCCCGAGACAGCCCAAACGGGCUCCAGAGAUGCCCUGGGGAGACCCCACUGCAUCUCCUGGGACAGCCCAGAGAGACCCCGCUGCACCCCCAAAGACACCCUGGAGAGACCCCAGAAGGGCCCCAGAGACACUUUGCAGAGACCGCUCUGCAUCCCCUGAGACCUCCCAGAGAGACCCCAAAUGGGCCCCGGAGACACCCUGCACAGACCCUGCUGCAUCCCCCGGGUCGCUGCAGAGAGACCCCACUGAGAUUCGGCAGGGCCUCAGGAGACACCCCAGAGAGACCCUCAAAAGGGCCCCGCAGACACCCCAGAGAGACCCUGCUGCAUCUCCUAGGACAUCCUGGAGAGACCCCGCUGAAUCCCUGGAGACAACCUGGAGACACCCCACAUGGGCCCCAGAGACACCCUGGGAUGUUCCCAGAUGGCCCCUCACACACCCUACGGAGACCCCACGCAGUCCCCUGCGCCCCCAGCGUACCCCAGAGUGAGCCCGCUGGAUCCCUGCUUUCCCUGAGGUGCUCCAUGGUGGCCUCGUACGUGUCCCCUGCAUCCCAAGAGGCCCCACAURAG
This 1140-nucleotide long non-coding RNA is filed under the name Apteryx haastii (Great spotted kiwi). Its description in RNAcentral is "lncRNA (ENSAHAG00000005403.1)". Lineage: Eukaryota; Metazoa; Chordata; Aves; Apterygiformes; Apterygidae. The record is from RNAcentral.